UCGGGAAUUUUGGGCAAUGGGGGAAACCCUGACCCAGCAACGCCGCGUGAAGGAUGAAGUAUUUCGGUAUGUAAACUUCGAAAGAAUAGGAAGAAUAAAUGACGGUACUAUUUAUAAGGUCCGGCUAACUACGUGCCAGCAGCCGCGGUAAUACGUAAGGACCAAGCGUUGUUCGGAUUUACUGGGCGUAAAGGGCGCGUAGGCGGCAUGACAAGUCACUUGUGAAAUCUCUGGGCUUAACCCAGAACGGCCAAGUGAUACUGUCGCGCUAGAGUGCAGAAGGGGCAAUCGGAAUUCUUGGUGUAGCGGUGAAAUGCGUAGAUAUCAAGAGGAACACCUGAGGUGAAGACGGGUUGCUGGGCUGACACUGACGCUGAGGCGCGAAAGCCAGGGGAGCAAACGGGAUUAGAUACCCAAGUAGUCCCUGAGCGGGCUGGCAAGGCGCAU
This 447-nucleotide ribosomal RNA is filed under the name uncultured bacterium. Its description in RNAcentral is "bacterial SSU rRNA". It matches the Rfam family "Bacterial small subunit ribosomal RNA", at positions 355 to 825 of the family's 1533-position model. The record is from RNAcentral.